CUUUCUGAAGGUUUAACCCGCAAAUAUGCCAAAUGGAACGCAGCUUAUAUUCACGAUUCCUUGAAUAAUGUCGGAAUUCCAUUGCCGUUUCUCAUUAACGAUGCACCCAGGAUUGCAUUUACCGUCUAUGAAAAUAUUCAUGAAGCGUUCCAAAAUUAGCUCCGAGCAACUAAAAGUUGGUUAAGCUUAAGUGAAAUAGUUUUUUAUUAAAUAUUUAUUCCUGGUAUUUA
This is a long non-coding RNA of Rhagoletis zephyria (snowberry fruit fly), 230 nucleotides long. RefSeq lists it as uncharacterized. The record is from RefSeq and is a predicted model, not a curated record. NCBI's taxonomy places the organism in Eukaryota, Metazoa, Arthropoda, Insecta, Diptera, Tephritidae.